GCGCCCGUAGCUCAUCUGGAUAGAGCGCGAGACUUCUAAUCUUGAGGUAGCAGGUUCGAGUCCUGCCGGGCGCACCA
RNAcentral lists this transfer RNA (77 nucleotides) under Allopontixanthobacter confluentis. RNAcentral describes it as "tRNA-Arg". It matches the Rfam family "tRNA". From Rfam's summary of the family: Transfer RNA (tRNA) molecules are approximately 80 nucleotides in length. The record is from RNAcentral. Lineage: Bacteria; Pseudomonadati; Pseudomonadota; Alphaproteobacteria; Sphingomonadales; Erythrobacteraceae. RNAcentral also lists the same sequence under 6 other names.